Molecule: ribosomal RNA, 406 nt
Filed under: uncultured bacterium
Lineage: Bacteria
Description: partial 16S ribosomal RNA
Rfam family: Bacterial small subunit ribosomal RNA
Source: RNAcentral
AUUGAACGCUGGCGGCAGGCUUAACACAUGCAAGUCGCGCGAGCGGCGGACGGGUGAGUAAUGUCUGGGAAACUGCCUGAUGGAGGGGGAUAACUACUGGAAACGGUAGCUAAUACCGCAUACCAUCAGAUGUGCCCAGAUGGGAUUAGAUAGUAGGUGGGGUAAUGGCUCACCUAGGCGACGAUCCCGAGCUGGUCUGCGAGUAUGACCAGCCACACUGGAACUGAGGCACGGUCAAGACUCCUACGGGAGGAAGCAGUGGGGAAUAGUGCAAAAUGGGCGCAAGCCUGAUACAGCCAUGCCUGGUGUGUGAAGAAGGCCUUCGGGUUGUAAAGCACUUUCAGCGAGGAGGCGUUACUCGCAGAAGAAGCACUGGCUAAGUCCGUGCCAGCAGCGGCGGUAAUAC